GUACACGCUGUGACUAGCAUAUCAAUAAGCGGAGGAAAAGAAACUAACAAGGAUUCCCUUAGUAACGGCGAGUGAAGCGGGAAGAGCUCAAAUUUGAAAUCUUCAAGGUUUCUACCUUGACGAAUUGUAGUUUAAAGAAGUGUUUUCUGCUGAAGUUUUGGUAAAAGUUCUUUGGAAUAGGACAUCAUAGAGGGUGAGAAUCCCGUAUUUGACCAUUAUUUUCAGCUUUGUGAUACACUUUCAAAGAGUCGGAUUGUUUGGGAAUGCAGUCCAAAAUGGGUGGUAAAUUUCAUCUAAAGCUAAAUAUUGGCGAGAGACCGAUAGCGAACAAGUACCGUGAGGGAAAGAUGAAAAGAACUUUGAAAAGAGAGUUAAACAGUACGUGAAAUUGUCAAAAGGGAAGCGUUUGACACCAGUGUUGUUUUCUCGAAAAUCAAUUAAAAAUGGCUCGAUUUUGUAUUGCUUGAGACCUUAAAAGCUCACUGUACAUUUUUCGUGUCUUUUUUAAUGCACUUUUCGUUUAACAAGUCAACAUCAGUUUCUUUUGUUGUAAAAGGGUCAUUGGAAGGUGGCUUUCUUUUCGGAGAAAGUGUUUAUAGCCUUUGGCCUCUGCAAUCGGAGAGACUGAGGUCUGCAGCGUAGACUCUUCGGGGUUAGAUACAUUUGUGCUAAGUUAUAGCUUUUUAUAGACAACUUGUUGACUAUAAUUAGUCUUGUAGCUUACUCGCUUAUGCUAUUUUACCUACGCUUAGGAUGUUGAGUAGCGACAUACGCAC
RNAcentral lists this ribosomal RNA (776 nucleotides) under uncultured Neocallimastigales. Its description in RNAcentral is "partial large subunit ribosomal RNA". It matches the Rfam family "Eukaryotic large subunit ribosomal RNA", at positions 22 to 649 of the family's 3401-position model. The record is from RNAcentral. Lineage: Eukaryota; Fungi; Neocallimastigomycota; Neocallimastigomycetes; Neocallimastigales.